UCACUGACACUCUCCUGAACAACGUAACUCCAAACUAAACCGCCAAUUCAUCACUGAGUCACUCUCCUUGUUGACUCGUUUCUUCUUCACUUCCACUUCCCGCCCACACAAAAUCAACUCAUUUGACAAUGGCGACUUUCCCUUCCGCUACUGCUGCUCCGAAUCGCUCCUUCCCCUCCAAGCAAACCUCCCCUGACUGCCUCCUCCUUCUCCGCCGCCGUAACCUCCGCCUAUCCCCGGCCACCGUCACACCA
This 254-nucleotide long non-coding RNA is filed under the name Linum usitatissimum (flax). RNAcentral describes it as "long non-coding RNA (LUSI_LNC006184)". The record is from RNAcentral. Lineage: Eukaryota; Viridiplantae; Streptophyta; Magnoliopsida; Malpighiales; Linaceae.